GACGAACGCUGGCGGCGUGCUUAACACAUGCAAGUCGAACGCGCCUGUCCUCUGGGUUUCUGGGGGGUGGGUGAGUGGCGAACGGGUGAGUAACACGUGAGUAACCUGCCCCCUUCUUCGGGAUAACGGUCUGAAAGGGCUGCUAAUACCGGGUAUUCACUGGUCUCCGCAUGGGGUCUGGUGGAAAGGUUUUUUUCUGGUGGGGGAUGGGCUCGCGGCCUAUCAGCUUGUUGGUGGGGUGAUGGCCCACCAAGGCUUUGACGGGUAGCAGGCCUGAGAGGGUGACCGGUCACAUUGGGACUGAGAUACGGCCCAGACUCAUACGGGAGGCAGCAGUGGGGAAUAUUGCACAAUGGGCGCAAGCCUGAUGCAGCGACGCCGCGUGAGGGAUGGAGGCCUUCGGGUUGUGAACCUCUUUCGCCCGUGGUCAAGCCGCGACGUGGGUCGUGGUGAGGGUAGUGGGUAAAGAAGCGCCGGCUAACUACGUG
RNAcentral lists this ribosomal RNA (488 nucleotides) under uncultured bacterium. Its description in RNAcentral is "partial 16S ribosomal RNA". It matches the Rfam family "Bacterial small subunit ribosomal RNA", at positions 28 to 507 of the family's 1533-position model. The record is from RNAcentral.